AACGAACGCUGGCGGCAUGCCUAACACAUGCAAGUCGAACGAGACCUUCGGGUCUAGUGGCGCACGGGUGGGUAACGCGUGGGAACCAGCCUUUAGGUUCGGAAUACUUCAGUGAAAUUUGAGCUAAUACCGGUUGGUGUCUUCGGACCAAAGAUUUAUCGCCUUUAGAUGGGGGCGGGUUGGAUUCGCGAGUUGGUGGGGUACAGGCCUAUCAAGGCGACGAUGCAUAGCUGGUCUGAGAGGAUGAUCAGCCCCACUGGGACUGAGACACGGCCCAGACUCCUACGGGAGGCAGCAGUGGGGAAUAUUGGACAAUGGGCGAAAGCCUGAUCCAGCAGUGCCGCGUGAGUGAUGAAGGCCUUAGGAUUGUAAAGCUCUUUUACCCGAGAUGAUAAUGACAGUAUCGGGAGAAUAAGCACCGGCUAACUCCGUG
Molecule: ribosomal RNA, 433 nt
Filed under: uncultured bacterium
Lineage: Bacteria
Description: partial 16S ribosomal RNA
Rfam family: Bacterial small subunit ribosomal RNA
Source: RNAcentral